CACUCAUAUUGUAUAGCUUUUUGUUAGGUAGAAGGAAACAAAAUGGAAUUAACAAUGAUAAAGAAAGAAGUAGAAUGAUCAUAUCACUCAAGUGAAUAACCAAGUCAUUUCGGAGGUUGACCAAAGUUGGAAUGAGUGGGACGUCGAAGUGGAGGUGGACUCAAGUUUUUAAUGGAUGUUGAGGAAUUAGAUAACACAAAAUUUGAUGUAGAACCUUCAAGAG
RNAcentral lists this long non-coding RNA (223 nucleotides) under Elaeis guineensis (African oil palm). Its description in RNAcentral is "long non-coding RNA (EGUI_LNC061094)". Lineage: Eukaryota; Viridiplantae; Streptophyta; Magnoliopsida; Arecales; Arecaceae. The record is from RNAcentral.